Cercocebus atys (sooty mangabey) is the source of this 9682-nucleotide long non-coding RNA. RefSeq lists it as uncharacterized. The transcript has 2 exons. The record is from RefSeq and is a predicted model, not a curated record. NCBI's taxonomy places the organism in Eukaryota, Metazoa, Chordata, Mammalia, Primates, Cercopithecidae.
GAAAGUGCUGAGACUACAGGCAUGAGCUACCGCGCCCAGCCAACCACCUUUUGUUUAUCUGUCAUAUAUUUGGAGUUAAUCAAAAGUGGAUGACAUCUGACAUUGGGGUUCUGGGGUUUUUGUUACCUAUAAACAGAUAAUUGUUUAACUUUCUAAUAAUAUAUUAAAAUAUACUUUAGUUUAAAAAUCUAGUUGGAGCCAUUAGAUCUUGCAAGUUAGCACUAGAGCAAACUUAAAAUAGUUUGUCUAGUUCAUCUUGUUCAGCAAAAUUUGAAGCAUUUACAAUGGCUUACAGUGUAUGAGAAUGAACUAGGAGAUAAUUUUGUAAGUGAAGAGAAACCAUUGUAAUAAAAUCUCCCAAAAGCUUUCGGGUAUUCAAUGUUUGCUGGUAAAUAAACAAAACCAGGUUUUUGAAAUUAAAAAAAUGUUUUUGAAACACUUUCUAAAAUUUGGUAUACAAUGAUCCGAAAAUCUCAGGACACCUUUGCCUGUCCUUAAGGACCUGCACAAAUUCACUAAGUGGUUUGUUUUUAUUCCAGGCACUAAAAUAAUGGACAAUUUGAGUAUCAGUAGAGACGCUACAUGCACAGUUUUUCACAUACAAAUGCCAGUUUGUCUUAUCAGAGAGACUAUGUGCCAUGCAUCAGUUUUAUCCAAAACCUGGAGUAAAAGAAAGAAAUUUUAGCAAAGGGUUGUAAUGACAUCAUAAGUAAAACGAUAGGACUGCUAAAACAAUCAUGACGUCAUCUGCUGUGCGCCGGCCUGCAAGUACGUAGUGGUAAAAUCGUUAGAUAUCAUAUUUCUGCUUAUAAAAUAAAAUCCUUCAUGAACGCUCUUAAAACAACUGCAAAGCAAGCAGUGGUCUUUACUUCCAUAUAUAUAUAUAUGUGUGUGUGUGUGUGUGUAUAUAUAUAUAUAUUUUACAUAAAGGCAUGAAUGCACAAGGUAACACCAGCAGCUGUACUCUAUUCUUUAUUUGCUACAAAUCUACCUAUUUGUUUCCAGAUGAUCUCUGCAAAUAAAUAGGUAACGCUGUACAACUUUCAACAGUGAAUCAGAAAAUAGAUGUCUCUUCUAAUUCACAAGUACCAAUGGCUCAAUUAAUUUAAGGGACAUUUUCUGAGUUGUGUGAUUUCACAUGUAUUUAUCGUGUCUAGAACUAUGCAAACUUUUGUUUCAUUUCUCUCUUAGAUUUCUGUAGGAAGAGUUAAAGGAUGCGAAGUAGUCAUUUUACUUAUUCAUAACACAUUUCAGGGAAAAUCGUGCUGUUGGGGAGAAAGUUAAAGCUAUCAACUAUACUCUAGACUCUAGUCCAAUUUUUCACAUCUGGUUGCUACUUUAAAAAAGGAUCAUUUUAAUUUUUAAAUGCAAAAUAUGUUGCACUUUACCUUUGAUAUUCCAAGGUUCCCAUGGUCAUUUAGAAAAAUAAAGCAGGAAAUUCUAAGGCCUUAGCAUCUACUUUAAUAAGAUGUUUGCAUUUAUAAAAAUAACAAGAAACUGAGGGUUUGCUGAAGGAGCACAGGGCCUACAAGUAUUUCCUCAUUCCUGUCCCUGUGCCUGGAGGCCCAGCUAAGCAUUCUGUUUCUGAGAAACUCCCCUUGUCGCAGAGUCUGAAUUAGUCAGUCCCCCUUCUGGGCUCCCACUGAAAUCCCAAAUCACAUCUGUUAUAAAACAUUGCAUUACAGGGAGUGAUCAUGUAUGUCUCUCUCUUUCUCAGUCCUUCCAGAAGAUAUGUCGGUCCUUGGAGGACAAGUGCAGUUAUUUUGUUCCCUUGGUGUAUCUAGAUCCCAGCAUGCGAUGUGCCUGGAGUUUAUCAGCAGUUCUCAAACUCUGGCAUGCAUCAGUCAGAACCUCCCUGAGGACUUGUGUGCACAGACCGGGGCCUGCCCUUCCAGUAUCUUACUCAGAGGCCAGGGUGGGGUCCGAGAGUGUGCAUCUCCAACAGGUUCUCAGGUGCUGCUGCCAUGCUGGGCCCGCUGACAGCCACUGCAGAAAACUUUUUUUCUCUUUUUUUUGGCAGUUAAAGACAGGUUUUCUUUAGUUAAAACCUGAGAGGCACUCCUGGCCAAUUUGGUCAGGAGCGCUCUCUCUUACAGACUAGGAGUAUAUAUUGGUUUUAGGGUGAGGGGGAUGAUCAGAAGCUUGGAAUGUGCCUGUGUGAGGGAGAAGUUUUAUGGCAGGGUUGGAAUAUCACUGGGAGGAGGGGAGUUUAUCUUGGGGAAGGCAUCUUUCCGGCCAGAGGGGGGUUAUCUCGAGACUGGCAUCUUCCCAGCCAGAGGGGGGUUAUCUUGGGGCUAGCAUGUCUCUGGUCGAGGCUAGCAUAUCUCUGGUCUGGGAGGAGUUUGGAACGCUUCUGGUUGGAGAUGUUAUUUGUGAUUUAUGGUCAUGCUGACCUUAGUCAUUAGGCUGAUGCCCUUUGAAUUUAGGCAGUUUUUUUAUUAAGGUGAACUUUAGGAUGAUGGGCUUGUCCAAGAUGGCGAUGCUCCUGCUCUGUCGAGCCAGACCCUAUAGUUAUAAAAAAGACGAGGGACGGCGUGUUCUUUCUGGCUACUUCCUCACUGCAGGAAACUUUUAAUGGACUAACUUGUGAAAUAAAAUGUGACUCUGGAACUGAUUUACUAAAUAUGCAACUGUUUCUGGAUCUCAAAGGAGCUCAUGAGAUGAGUAAGAAAUGGGGGUCUGAGAGCAAAGACAAGAUUCCUUCUGUUACAAGCUACAUACAACACCUAAUCCACUCCUCAGAAGUCAAGGGAGCUUUAAGAAAUGUGUGCGUGCCAGAUUCCAUUCCCCAGAAAUACUGAUUGUCCUGAUCUGGGGCACAGUAAGGCACCCUCUUUUUCGAAAGCCCCUCAGCUGGUUACAAGGCAUGAUCAAGGUUCAAAAGCUACUGCUUUAAGAAAAAAGAAAAAAACCAUCUCCUACUUUUUGUGGGUUCAGUCACUAAUGUACAAAACCAAGUAAUGUGAUGCAGUCUUAAGCAGGGAACAAGAGAUCCCCAUUCUGAGGAUUUGUAGCAAUAUACGAACAUGACUCCUGGUACACUUAUAUGCACAAUAUAUUAUAUUACGAGUGGCCGAUAACUGCAGCUAAUCACCUGCUGACUAUAGCAACCUCACCUAGAGAGAAGCUGGUAUCCAGAACCCCUGGUGUGGCUCAAUUUUGAUGCUGAUGGUGAGCAUGAGACAAGGAGAGCCAGGAGACUGUGAGGGGAGGAGUUGUUCUGUGACCUAAGACAAGUAACUGACAUAGAAAUAUGUGAGCAAAUGACAGCUCAAGCCACAUUGCUCUCCUGUGCUCUGGACCACUGUAUUCUACUGCCUCUUGGACUUCUCCAUCUGAGCAAUUCAAGCUCAAUACACCUAAAAGCUGAAUAUUCAUAUUGCACUCUCCUGCCCUUCCCCUCCCUGCCCUUCCCUUCUCUGCAGUCCCAUUGACUUCCCAGCCUUUGUGAUUGCAUUCAGGAUCUAUCCAGGCUUCCAAGUGAGAAGCCUGGGUGUCAAUCUGGGCUUGUCUUUCUUAUGCUGCUACAUAUACUUAUCAACCAGUUCUGCCUCCUGAUCAGUCCCAGAGUCCCCUGUCCUGAAUCUUCCUUGCUCUUGCUUCAUUGUCUCUGGUAAUAGUGACAAACCUCCCUGUUUCCAGUGCCACCCCUGCAGUCCAUUCCCCAAACCACAGCUGCAGCCAUCUUUCUAAAACACCAAACACAGCAUGUCAGUUCACAGUCACUUCUCUUUCACACAGGACAAAAUCCAAAGCCACAGGAUGGAGCUCUCUGUGAACUGUAGGUAGCCUUACCAUUUAUUCCUUCUCUUCCUGCCAUUUGAAUUACUAGCACUCUCAAGAACUUUGCUCCUAUUGGCACUGCUUGUGCAAUGUCCUCCACAACCUAUUCUCUGGGGAAAUAACCAUAUAACCAAAUAGCUCAAAUGAGCAAUCCCUUCCAUUUGUGGCUAAACGUGCUCUCCUCCCCGUGUAGAAUUAAAGGCAAAGACUGAACUCAAAAGUCAUCCUUUGUCCUGGGAAGAGUUCUGUCAUUAAUUCUGUGACAUUGUUUCACACUUAUUAUCUCUAGCUUUCUCUUCCUCCAGUUGACUUCCAGACACUUAAGGGCAAGUACCAAGUCUAAUUUAUUUUUACAUCUCAACAUAUGGAUGGAACAGUGUAAAUCACUCAUGAUGGCUCAAACAUAAAGAAAAAAAAAGCCUAAGUUGUAACAGGUACCAAUACUUGCCCUUCUACUCAAAGGGCAAACAAUCAUGGUUGACUUACGUAAUUAUUUAAACUAAGUCAGGGCCAUGUGUGCUGCCCCGCUAGUAAUGGUGUAAUUGCAGGUGUACUUAGGGCUGUCCGCAAGGCAUUCUCAUUGGGUGCGUUGUCCCCUAAAUUAUAACUUGAGUCUUUUGUUAAUGAGAAGUUCUAGAUAUAUUCAGAAAGGACACUUGGACUCCGGGUCUCUCCCUGAAAACCCACCAGAACGAGAUAAAACUUCGAUCAGAGAGAGAAAUUCUACUCCCCCAUGUUAGUGUUUUCAUACUGCUUGCUAAAGCAAGCUGCUGAAACUGGUGGGAGUAAAAUUUAUUCUAAGCAUAUGCAAUUCACAGAUGCUCAGUCCACAGGACCAGUCAUCUGAUACUGAACUUCAGGGCCUUCAGGGUUUGAAAUGUUAAAUCUAGCACUUACUUUCUAGGGGCUCAGUAAACACGUCCCCAAUGUUCCAGGCCCCAGCUACCCCUCCUGCUCCCAACUGGCUCAAGGAACUUUCUAGACAACUGGAUUGAGUGUAUCUAUCUAAAUGUGUAGCAAGAAAGCUUUACCAGAUGACUCUGAAAAAGUGAAAAUUACAGGCAAACUAGUUAUUUGAAUAAGUUCCAAUGCCUGGAUUCUUGCCAAAUUCAAACUGGCCAGCUUGUGCCUAUGGGCCCAAUGGAGGACAAUCUAAUGAUGUUGUCCAAAGAGCCAACUGCUGAAAUUUUCUUAGAAAAUUCAGCCCUGUAGGAGGAAAAUGAAAAAGAAUGAAUGAGAAAACACUAUGAUGUUUAAUGGGGAUGGCCUACAGGAACAAGUUAAGAUUUACACUCUAUUCUCUAUGGGUUAGUGGUUCAAGAAUAAACCAGUAAUAAUUAACUGAGACUAAAAAUGUUUAUCACCAUAAUUUCAAAUGUCUGUAAGUGACAAAAGGAAACAAAAACGAAAAGAAUCUGAGGAACAGAAUCUGUGUUUUGUUUUUUGUUUUUUGUUUUUUUUAAGAUGGAGUCACACUGUCAUGCCGGCUAGAGUGCAGUGUCGUGAUCUUGGCUCACCGCAACCUCCGCCUUCCAGGUUCAAGUGAUUCUCCUGCCUCAGCCUCCUGAGUAGCUGGGAUUACAGGCACCCACCACCACGCCCAGCUAAUUUUUUUGUAUUUUCAGUAGACACCAGGUUUCUCCGUGUUAGCCAGCAUGGUCUCAAACUCCUGACCUCAUGAUUCGCCUGCCUCAGCCUCCCAAAGUGUUGGGAUUAUAGGCAUGAGCCACCGCGCCCAGCCCAGAAUCUUGUUUUAAAAAUUGUAUUUAUAGGGAAGCAACAUGUGGGUGAACCAUAUUCUAAAACUUUGAAAUUUUCUCAAAACAUACCCCUAUUAGUAAAACCUAACGUUAAAUAAGCUCAUAACUAGAGUACAUAUGAAGUCAAAAUUAAAACACGCACACACAGGCCACAGACACACACACAAGUCACAUGGCAAGGGCUACACUGUGUUGCAAGUGGGUUCUGCAACAGGCGAAAUGUCCUCAACAUUGUGACCCAUCCCCAUUCCAGGGCACCAGCCUGGGGUUACCUUCCCUUCAGUGCCCAUAAUCAUCAGUUGCCUUUAAUAUUAGAGUUGGUUUGUCACUCUCAUCAAAAAAGUUUCAGAUGCUAGCUGCUAGUCUUGGAGCUUGGAUCAAAGAAAAAACAAAGAAUAUUUUCUUUUCAAACAGGGAGGAAUCCUUCAUCUUUACUGAGACUACUUCUAAAAACAUUUCAGAACAUGUUAGUGCUGUCACGUGGACCAAGUGUAAUUAUGCAGCACAACGGACUUUUGGCAAUCGGUGUCUUCAAACCAGAAGUUUUUGAAAAAUUAUGAGUGAUGAAACUAAAUACAUGAAGCCAGAAAUUGCCGUUAAAACCUAUUGGAGCUCUCAGCCAGUUUCUUGUAUUCUGUGCUAGAGCCGUGUGGGUCUAACACACAGACCACUGGUGUCCCUUCCAGAUUUGAAAGCAAUCUGGAAGCAAGAGCAGAAACCCUUAAAACUCACCCCCUUUCACCCUUUAACCCAGAAUAUCUAGCAUAUUCUAUGCACUCAGUAAAUAUUCACUGAAUUCAGAAACAACAGCUCAGAAGCCUGAAGGGUCAAAGUGACUUGUCCACCUUCGCCCUGGGCUGGAGUGAGAAGAAAGGUCCCAGUUGCCAAGCCAGGCUUGGGCUUUCUAGAUCUGACCUCCUUUGAGGAGGGAGGGUGGUAGAUCUCACUUCGGAUACCAUUAAUAUCCCCACUUUGGUUUCUCUUUAAGACAGCUCGGACGUACUGAAUAGGAACAUCUCCAGAAGUGGGGUUGGGCAGGCUUAUUUCCACAAAGCUCCCUCAGUUGGGAAUUCUGACUCGCCUUGGAAUACUUUCCAGAGUCCCUUCUGGAGAGCACCUUCAUUCUGUAAGAGGCAGGGCUUUGCUUAGCACCGCUCAAGCAGUCUCCACUCCAUGCUCACUGACCUAGGGAUGGAGCUGCCUCCAUGGAAGGUGACCGAACAGAGGGCUGAGGAACUCUGAAGGAACGCAGACUGCUGGACAGCCCACGUUGAAGCUUCAGACAGACCCAUCUUCAUGAGCUGGCUCCCUGGGCCCUUUCCCGUUGCCAGCUCUGUCAUUAGACAUUCGCACACACCUGAUUUGGAUCUCCUGAAACCAGAACUCGGACGAGGCAGUGGAGUUUGGAAGUUGAGAGAGGGAUCUGGAGUCGGAAGCCCCUGGUGUGAGUUUCACAUCUGCCUCCUACCAGCGGUGGGAAAGUCACUUUAGUUCUUUGUACCUCAGUUUCCCCCAUAGGAGGAGAGUGUACACCUCUUAUGCUUAAUGUGGGGAUUAGGACGCAUGAAACGGAGUCUGGCAGCCAUUACGUCUAAGAGCAGCAAGUCCAGAAGUUAGCAUGUCCCAGAACCAAACAAAACCCUCACUAAACAAAGUGCAUCUUGAAUAAAAUCGACUGAAUUUGAUAGACACAGGUCUCAAACAAAUUUCUGUUAAAAGAGCUCAUCUCCUACUUUAAUCAUUUGCCCCUGAAAAUUCAGUCUUUUAUGUUACUGUAACAGAAUAGCGCCUGUUCACCUACUCUCUCUGUCUUCAGGAGCUUUCUGUUUUGAGUGAAUAUGGGAUAAACAGGCAAAUUACGUGGUAUUUAUAUUUUUCUCAGGAACAAAUCUCCAAUCACUAACAGUGGUGUUCAAGCAAGUAACAUCAAAGAAUGAGAACCCCACUGGAGGGAGAAAAGUGAUGCUUUGGAGUUGCUCUGAGGGUUUAAUUUAAAAUAAAGAGAAGAGUCUCUUCAGCAGAGACAGGGCUGACACCUGACUAACAGGACCCGCAGUCAGCCCCCAGGCAGGCAGGAGGGGCCCUGCAAGCUCAGCAGAGAAGAAACCUUUCCACCAGUUCCUUCAAUGAAAAGAGGAAUCUUUUAUUAUUGGAACCACACCCCACCUUUUCCCUCUUUCCUAUAUUUGGCAACAUUGUUAAAAUUCCAGAUGUCCUCAAAGAGCUCUUUGCAUUGGCGAGUAAUCUCUCCGGAGACUUUAACAAUCCUUCUUCCGUCCGGUGAUCCCCAAACCUGGCUCCCCAACAGAUCACAUGAAAAGCAUUAAAAAAAAUCCCAUGUCCAGGUCUUGCCCCGUGCCAAUUAAAUCAGAAUGUCUGGGGGCGGGAUUCAGACACUGGUUUUUGUUUUGAUUUUUUUUUUUUUUUAAUCCCAGGUAAUUCUAACGUGCAGCAAGAUCUGGGAACCACUGUUCUAUGUCUUGCCCCUCCCCCAACGACCGCGCUGGGCACCAAACCCCAACUCCCCAUGCCAGUGACAUCAACAGCAAGUACGGGCCUGGCUCUUGGAACCCGCGCAGCUCAAGGUUGGAAUUGUGCAAUUAAACCUUCCGAGGCAUGUUUCCCGUGUCAAGUGGGUUUAUGGUCUGUAGUCACGAAGCCAGACUCGCUCAUGUUCUGUCUGGACACUUGGCACACUUGAACCAGGGACAUCAAUCCGGUGUGUGUGUGUGUGUGUGUGUGUAAGACAGGUUUAAUAUUUUGGUUGGCUCAAUGUCAAAUUCUUCAGACAGCAAAAAGAAACAUCCAAGAAAGAAACUCUCCGGGUUUUGAGGAGAAAAGUUUGCUGUGAGCCCCAUUUUGAAACACCGUGGUGCUGGCCAGGAUGAUCUCUGUUUCCUGGGCUUCUGCACUAGAGGCCGCGAUCCCCCCAGCAGUGGCCGGACAGCCGCGUCCCCCUCCACCGCGAAGCCCAGGCGCGACCGAAGGGCUGCAGAACAAACUUCUACCAGCUUUAGACAGACUGGCCGAGCCCUAGAGCCAGCGUCGAAUAAUGGCACCGACGGGGAAACUGCUCCUUUAUUCGGGUCCCCACUCCCCUGCAGCACCCAGGGACCCUCGCGGGGAUCAGAGGCUCGCCUGGCAGCUGAGGAGGUCGCUGUGCCCGCGCGGCAGGGGUGCCAGGCGUCCGAGGUGGUGCUCUAAAAUCCGAGGGUCCUUCAGAUCCCGUGAAGCACCCUAGAAAUCGUCUGAAAUGAGGGCACCCAACUUUGGGCGCAGAGACAGGCCUCCUCAAUGUUUACUGCAACCGGCCGUGGGUACUUUGAAGCCAAUGUGUGAAGCACGUUACUUCGCAAAAGUGAAGCUCUUGGAAUAAAGGCUUGACACAAACAGCUGUGGAGAUGCUUUUAGAGAGGCUAAGUGUCCCACUGCACCGGUAGCUCCCGCAGGAGAAAUGCCAGGGAAGUUCGCGAAAGUUUGGCGGAAAGAAACUGAGCUGCUUUAGGCUGCAAGAACUUGAGCUACAUUCCUUUGGCAAGUCCACCCCAUCCCCACUGUUGCUUCUCCUGCAGUAAGAAUGUCCUCUAGGUCCAUGUUACAGUCAGACCCCUCCUCUCUUCACGAGAUUCACUAGGACCUUCAGGCCUGAUUCAACAACCCUGAUCUCCCGGCUCUGUCAAAAAUCAUAAUCCUGAAGUAAGUGGAGCUACAGAUCUGCCCUUUGCUGUCUCUGAAGGGGAGCAACCUUGCAUCUUUCCUCCGCAUCCAGCGAAGUGUUUGUGCCUGGGUUUCACACCCUGCAGCCUGAACGGUGGGUUUUUCACCAGGGCAAGUGCAGACAGACACAAGGCUCCUCACCGCCCGCACAACCUGUAACUUCCCUCUGAAUUAGGAGAAGUAAUUUGUUCCUUUGUUUUAGCGGAUCAGUACAGCCACUGUGCGUUGAAGUCAGCCCCUGGAUGCAGAGAUCGUGAAGGCUCUGCAGGCACAUGUAUGCUUCCUGCACACCUGGGCUGAGAGCAGUCCGUAUAGAAACACAGAGACAAAAAACAAAACUAGAGAAAGGCAAAUGUGAAGCACAGCAGUGGAACAUAAAAUGAAGACAGGAGUGAGUCUUACAAUAAAAGACCUAAAUAUGA